This 761-nucleotide ribosomal RNA is filed under the name uncultured bacterium. RNAcentral describes it as "bacterial SSU rRNA". It matches the Rfam family "Bacterial small subunit ribosomal RNA", at positions 28 to 776 of the family's 1533-position model. The record is from RNAcentral.
AUUGAACGCUGGCGGCAGGCUUAACACAUGCAAGUCGAACGGUAACGGGAAGGAAGCUUGCUUCCUUUGCUGACGAGUGGCGGACGGGUGAGUAAUGCUUGGGAAUCUGUUUUAUGGAGGGGGAUAACUACGGGAAACUGUAGCUAAUACCGCGUAAUAUCGAGAGAUUAAAGUGUGGGACCGCAAGGCCACAUGCCAUGAAGUGAGCCCAAGUGGGAUUAGGUAGUUGGUGGGGUAAAGGCCUACCAAGCCGUCGAUCUCUAGCUGGUCUGAGAGGAUGACCAGCCACACUGGGACUGAGACACGGCCCAGACUCCUACGGGAGGCAGCAGUGGGGAAUAUUGCACAAUGGGCGCAAGCCUGAUGCAGCCAUGCCGCGUGAAUGAAGAAGGCCUUCGGGUUGUAAAGUUCUUUCGGUGGUGAGGAAGGUUGGCGUGUUAAUAGCACGUUGAUUUGACGUUAGCCACAGAAGAAGCACCGGCUAACUCCGUGCCAGCAGCCGCGGUAAUACGGAGGGUGCGAGCGUUAAUCGGAAUAACUGGGCGUAAAGGGCACGCAGGCGGAUACUUAAGUGAGGUGUGAAAGCCCUGGGCUUAACCUAGGAAUUGCAUUUCAUACUGGGUAUCUAGAGUAUUUUAGGGAGGGGUAGAAUUCCACGUGUAGCGGUGAAAUGCGUAGAGAUGUGGAGGAAUACCGAAGGCGAAGGCAGCCCCUUGGGGGAAUACUGACGCUCAUGUGCGAAAGCGUGGGGAGCAAACAGG